This 556-nucleotide ribosomal RNA is filed under the name Protopannaria pezizoides. RNAcentral describes it as "eukaryotic LSU rRNA". The stretch from base 209 to 362 matches the Rfam family "5.8S ribosomal RNA". Lineage: Eukaryota; Fungi; Ascomycota; Lecanoromycetes; Peltigerales; Pannariaceae. The record is from RNAcentral.
AAGUCGUAACAAGGUUUCCGUAGGUGAACCUGCGGAAGGAUCAUUACCGAGAGUGGAGCCUGGCUCCGCGGGGGCCAACCGCCCCCGACUCUUCACCCUGUGUCAACCGUGCCGCGUUGCUUUGGCGAGGGGACUCCCCGAGCCCGUCGCCGAAGACCAUUGAAAUUUCUGUGUUCACGGCAGUCUGAGUAACACAUCAAUUAAACAAAACUUUCAACAACGGAUCUCUUGGCUCUGGCAUCGAUGAAGAACGCAGCGAAAUGCGAUAAGUAAUGCGAAUUGCAGAAUUCAGUGAAUCAUCGAAUCUUUGAACGCACAUUGCGCCCCUUGGCAUUCCGAGGGGCAUACCUGUUCGAGCGUCAUUUGCUCCCCUCACGCGGCGCGUGGUCUUGGGCGUGCGUCCCCCGGGACGGCCCCGAAAAUCAGUGGCGGCGCGGUGCCGCGGCGAGCGUAGUAGUUAAACCCCCUCGCUCGGCUGGCGGUGUCGCGGUGGCCAACCAACCUGUGAAUCUCACCGGUUGACCUCGGAUCAGGUAGGGAUACCCGCUGAACUUAA